Leopardus geoffroyi (Geoffroy's cat) is the source of this 1706-nucleotide long non-coding RNA. RefSeq lists it as uncharacterized. The transcript has 4 exons. NCBI's taxonomy places the organism in Eukaryota, Metazoa, Chordata, Mammalia, Carnivora, Felidae. The record is from RefSeq and is a predicted model, not a curated record.
AGCCCGACGCGGGGCUCCAACUCACGAACCAUGAGACCAUGACCUGAGCCGAAGUCGGCCGCCCAACGACUGAGCCACCCAGGCCCCCCGAGCUGCCAAGUCUUUUAAGUGCAAAGGCCACUCUAUCCUUGGACUUCCCACUCUGCGGGCGGCUGCCAUUAAGAAGUGGAAUCUGUUUCCUUAAAAGGCCUUGAACCUGGGCUAGCCCUGGCACUUGUUUUGACCUCCAGCAUAUGGCAGAAGUCGAUAUGGUGGCUCCCAGCACGGGGGUCACGAGGACUGGGAUACUUCCCACCCUCUGUUUUGGAAUCUUGAUCGACCACCGUGAGGACCAGCCUGAGCUAGACUUCUAGAGGAUGGGAGACCCCCGGGUGACCCCCAAGUAUGUAAGAAAGCUCAACCCAGCCCAGCCAGUGGAGCCACCGACACGACUCCAGCUGUCCUCGGACCCAUCAGUGAGCCCAGCUGGGGCCAGAAGAACCUCCGGCUGACCUGCAGACACUGAUGACAGUGGGAAACCACUUGGGUUCCUGAUGGAUUCAGUGCUCUCCAAAUGCUCUGUCGUAUUAGCCGUGGAAAUGGGCUUUGUCUUGUCCAGGAGUCAUCGCUUGAUGAAAUGAACAGGCACUCAACCUCCCGAAGCCAAAGCUCUUACGGCUGAGACCCAGGCUCGCACAAGAAAUUACUGCCCUUUAAGAGAAUGACGAGUGCACGGGAGUAUGGGCCAGACAUCGACAGCAGCAGCCACAGAGGGUCUGAGGGUCUCCUCCCCGCACCAUGAAUGCAGUCCCAGUGGAGAACAUCUCUGAUCUCCGGAAAAGCCCUGCCCAUAGGUGGGGAGAGAAUGAACUUUGGAACCAUGCGUCCUGGGCUCAAAUCCCAGCUCUUGGAGGCUCACCGUCUACUUUCUCUGCUGCCGAAGACGGUUUACACCCAGCAAAGGGAGAUCUCAGAAAAGGCUGAGCCUGAGUGGAGGGUGUGGAGGUGGCCUGGUUAUUCUUAGCAAGGAACGAAGAGAGGCAAAAGAUGCUUUGGGCUGCCAGGGCCGCAUAGCACCUUUCAGAGGGAGCAGCCAGACCACAGUCCUUCCUGGCUCGCCAAGUUUGGUUGGAAAUUCUUUCCACCCCAGGCAGCGGGGAAUUCAGGGAAUUCGGGGUGGGCCUGCCAGGGCCUUCAGAGACCCUUAAAUAAAAUUUCUCAGCUCUGGUGUCAGAACAGUGGUCAGACGUGAUGAGGGCUGUUCGAACAGCCGGGCCUGGCAAGCAGGACCCCGGAGGCUGGGCUCCUGGCCCAUCUGUAGUUUUCCUUCCCAUCUGAAAGCUUUGAUUCAUGCAAGGGCUGGCCCAAGGAGGGUGAGGGGAACUGAAAAGGUACGUGUCCUCAGAACCAAGGAAGAGGGAAGGACAUUGCCACCACCUUGCUGACGCCCCGGCUUUCAAAGGUUCAGGAAGGGCUGAAUGGCAUGGAGACCAUUGGCUUUUUGGUCCAAACUGUUGUUGCCCUCCAGGAGAGAACAAAAGUCCUUUUCUAGGGCACAGACUCUGUGGGUAAGACAGAGAGUAAGGGGUGAGAGCACAGCCUCUGGACUCAAAAGAGUCCCAUCUCUGUCACUAAGAAGCUGUGUAGCACUGGGCAGGUCAUUUAAGAUGUAAAAUUAAAAGGGCACCUCACUAAAAGGGAGUCAGGAGGCCAGAAGGGAGUCUGGG